ACUAACUAACUUUGAGAAUCCCUUUCAGACUGAGCAGAGUUAAGCUGCAAAGGCUCCGUACCAGCUGCCUGGAAGAGGUUUCGACCAACUGACACAUCUGGGAAGGACCCUCUCCAAUCUGUUGAGCUGUCUACAGUGUACUUCAGGUUCCCAGCUUCAUGAGCUGUCACCUUGAUGCGGCAGCUCUCUUUGAGUCAUCUCUGCUCCUGGGAGGAACCACUCUCCCGUAUUCCUGUCAGCAACCCCAGGGAGACUCAUAGUUCGCCAAGUUGUACUUUGGUGGUAUCUUCACUUUGGUCUGUCCUGUGUGUCCUAUCUGGGGUGAGGAGACAUGUGUGUUGCUUCUCACCAGAAAGACACUUUGUCACACCACAGGUGCUUAUUAUACAUGGGUACGCACAUGCCACAGUGCCUGUGUGGGAGUUAGAGGACAACUUGUGGGGGCUGAUCUUCUCCUUCGACCUGUGGGGACCAAACUCAAGUCAUUGGGCACCUCACUGGUCUUCACUCAGUAUUUUACAUCCACUGGAUGUAAAUUUACAUUCAAAUAUGAAAGCAAAUAACAUUUAAAUUUUCAUAUAAAAGAUCCUCUGUGGACUCGACAAGAAUGUCUCUGACUUAAGCAGGACUUGACAUUUCAUCUCCAGUCCAUGCUAGAGGUGAACACAAGAUAGUGGGAUCUGGGAGCUUCUGAGGGAAUUUACAGUGUCAAGAUCCGCCCAUGAGUGGAGGAAGGUAAUGAACUGGGAGGGUGGCGGAUGCAUCACCUGCCUGAAUCAUGGAUACCAAAAGACUAAGGACGGUGAGUGUUCUGGGUGGACCUCCAGGAGGGACUGAAUACUUCAGGUGCUGACAUUCUUGGUAAACACUGAGUGCCCUGGAAUUUGGCAAAAGAAGACACAAGGAGAGAAGAAGGGUGUGGCUGGUGUUGUGAGCAUCAAAAGAAAAGGAUAUGAGUGAGAGAAAAAAAAAAAGAUCCAUAACCAUAAGCAGCAAGAACAUUUCUUGGAAGGUAUCUGUUUCCCUCCCAAAUUCCAUUCUUCUGCUUGUUGAACAGAACUACUGCUAACAAGGCCUGCUGAGGAAUCUGAGAAUCCUUCAUGUCUUUUCCUCUCUUCAUUACUUACACCUAACCAAUAAACUUUUUUUUUUUUUUAA
This is a non-coding RNA of Peromyscus maniculatus bairdii (prairie deer mouse), 1158 nucleotides long. The record is from RefSeq and is a predicted model, not a curated record. Lineage: Eukaryota; Metazoa; Chordata; Mammalia; Rodentia; Cricetidae.